RNAcentral lists this long non-coding RNA (518 nucleotides) under Setaria viridis. Its description in RNAcentral is "long non-coding RNA (SVIR_LNC001667)". Lineage: Eukaryota; Viridiplantae; Streptophyta; Magnoliopsida; Poales; Poaceae. The record is from RNAcentral.
GUCCACUAUGGAGCGUUUGUAGUCUUUAUUAGUGUUUCUUUGUUGUCCUGUUCCACAAUUGUAGCAUUAAGUUGACCGGUGUAAUUUUCAUGUCACUCUAAUUUAACAUGCAAACUAUCCAAAAAAUUGUAGCAAUGGCCAAAUUCUAUUUCUUACACCUACAAUUUAUUUAUCUUAAUUUUAUUGCAAUGACUAAAUAUUAAAAACAUAUUUACUCUAUUUUUUUCCAUACCUAAUAUUGAUCAAGAUAUUUAUCUAAUACAAAUCAUAUAUAACAAGCAAGCUAUCAAUCAAAUUCUAGCUCAAAAACAUGUAUAAAUAAAAUCCUCUCCAUUCUCCCUCAUUCUAAAAAACUCAUUUUUUUCUAUCUCCAAAGCAUAAAACAAUUAAAUGAAGGGAUGAUGAAGUAGCUAACCUUUACAACACUUUGGAUAAGUGAAAUCCCCACGAAAAUGAGAAAAAAAAUAGGACUAAAGGGAACCUUUAGUCCUUGUUGGUGUUUUCAACCGAGACUAAAC